CAAAUGUAAUUGUCUUUGUAUUCUGUCACAUCAAAAUCCAGAUAUUUUGUUGUAGUUUUUCUUUUUUUUUUUGAGACAGGAUCGGUGCAGUGGUGCAGUCUCAGCUCACUGCAGCCUCAAACUCCUGGGCAGCUCAGGGACAGGGUCUCACUGUGUUGCCUAGGCUGGUCUCAAACUCCUGGGCUCAAGUGAUCGUCCCUCCUUGGCCUCCCGAAGUGCCGGAAUUAUAGGUGUGGACCACCAUGCCUGGCCUUGUAGUUUAUUUCUAAGUUCAAAUUAAUGUUGGUGCCUUUCCUCCUUUUUCUUGGCAGAUGGUUUACUAGACAGAGUCUUGCCAUGCUGUCCAGGCUGGAGUGCAGUGGUGUGAUCUCGGCUCACUGCAACCUCCACCUCCCGGGCUCCAGCAAUCCUCCCACCUCAGCCUCCCUAGGAGCUGAGACUACAGUGCACAGCCAGAGAACAACACAUCACACACAGGAAACAGUUGUGCUCAUGUGAUGGGGGCCUCAGCACUAGGAAGGAGUGGACUAUUGGCGCAUGUAGCAGCUUGAAUAAAUCUGAAAGUCACUACACUGCGUAAGAGAAGCCAAAUAAAAAAGUUCAUGCUGUGUACAGAGGGUGUUGAGAAUGCCUCCUACGUGACGGAAAGCAGAUCCGUGGUUCCCUGCAGACCGGCAGGAGCAGAU
This 686-nucleotide long non-coding RNA is filed under the name Pongo abelii (Sumatran orangutan). RNAcentral describes it as "lincRNA". Lineage: Eukaryota; Metazoa; Chordata; Mammalia; Primates; Hominidae. The record is from RNAcentral.